RNAcentral lists this ribosomal RNA (311 nucleotides) under uncultured soil bacterium. RNAcentral describes it as "bacterial SSU rRNA". It matches the Rfam family "Bacterial small subunit ribosomal RNA", at positions 26 to 337 of the family's 1533-position model. The record is from RNAcentral.
AGAUUGAACGCUAGCGGGAUGCUUUACACAUGCAAGUCGAACGGCAGCGCGGACUUCGGUCUGGCGGCGAGUGGCGAACGGGUGAGUAAUAUAUCGGAACGUGCCCAGUAGCGGGGGAUAACUACGCGAAAGCGUGGCUAAUACCGCAUACGCCCGUACGGGGGAAAGGGGGGAUUCUUCGGAACCUCUCACUAUUGGAGCGGCCGAUAUCAGAUUAGCUAGUUGGUGAGGUAAAGGCUCACCAAGGCGACGAUCUGUAGCUGGUUUGAGAGGACGACCAGCCACACUGGGACUGAGACACGGCCCAGACU